AUUUAAAGUAAAACCUGCUCCAUGAUUUAAAUAGCCGCAGACAUCUGUGCUAAGGUAGCAUAAUCAUUAGCCUUAUAAUUGAAGGAUAGUAUGAAAGGUUAAACACAUAUUCACUGUCUCACUCAAACUCCCAAAAUUAAAAUAAAGGUAAAAAUUCCUUUACUUCCGGUAAGACGACAAGACCCUGAUAAACUUAACAUUUCGCUGGGGAGGCAAAUUAAAAAAACCUUACAAUAAAAAAAACUUUUCCUACCAAAAGAAUUAGUUACUACAGGGAUAACAGCGCAACUUUUUCUAAGAGCCCGUAUCUAAGAAAACCUCUACGACCUCGAUGUUGAAUCAAUUUCACUAAAAAGAAGCAGAAAUCUUUCAAGUUGGUCUGUUCGACCAUUAAAAAAUU
This 400-nucleotide ribosomal RNA is filed under the name Ninetinae gen. sp. Cu12-325. Its description in RNAcentral is "partial 16S ribosomal RNA". It matches the Rfam family "Bacterial large subunit ribosomal RNA", at positions 1845 to 2597 of the family's 2925-position model. The record is from RNAcentral. Lineage: Eukaryota; Metazoa; Arthropoda; Arachnida; Araneae; Pholcidae.